This 465-nucleotide ribosomal RNA is filed under the name uncultured bacterium. RNAcentral describes it as "bacterial SSU rRNA". It matches the Rfam family "Bacterial small subunit ribosomal RNA", at positions 338 to 795 of the family's 1533-position model. The record is from RNAcentral.
CCUANGGGGGGCUGCAGUAGGGAAUAUUGGUCAAUGGGCGCAAGCCUGAACCAGCCAUGCCGCGUGAGUGAUGAAGGCCUUCGGGUCGUAAAACUCUUUUCUGAGGGAAGAACAUCCUGCGUAGGAAAUGACGCGGGCUUGACGGUACCUCAGGAAUAAGCAACGGCUAACUCCGUGCCAGCAGCCGCGGUAAUACGGAGGUUGCAAGCGUUGUUCGGAAUAACUGGGCGUAAAGGGAGCGCAGGCGGUUGGGCAAGUCCAAAGUGAAAGCCCGGGGCUCAACUCCGGAAGUGCUUUGGAUACUGCCUUACUCGAGUUCGUGAGAGGAAAGCGGAAUUCCAGGUGUAGCGGUGAAAUGCGUAGAUAUCUGGAGGAACACCGGUGGCGAAAGCGGCUUUCUGGCACGAUACUGACGCUGAGGCUCGAAAGCGUGGGGAGCAAACAGGAUUAGAUACCCGANUANUC